Molecule: long non-coding RNA, 1960 nt
Organism: Oncorhynchus tshawytscha (Chinook salmon)
Lineage: Eukaryota; Metazoa; Chordata; Actinopteri; Salmoniformes; Salmonidae
Source: Ensembl
GUGAGAAAGAAGUACCCUGGAGCUGGUCCUUUCCGUUCUGCCGCCCUAGGGGAAACCAAAAAAUGCUGCCCCCUGCAAAACUAGAAUAAUCCCCGAUGUUGAAAAGGCGUGUUUUCUGGACGUUGAAAAAUAUGUAUUUUCCGGACGUUGAAUUCAGGUACAUUUUUGGUUUUAAAUUAAAGUUGAAAAGAGGUCAUUUAUAGACGUCUAUGUUUGGCUCAAAUCAAGGCUGGUCCAUAAAUGUAUGUCUGUGGACGUUGAAAUCAAAUCUGAACCAAACAUAGACGUCUAUGAUUUGUUCAGAUUUGGUCUGGACCGGACCAAAAACCAAUGUCUGUGGCAAUCAAGGCUGGUCCAGACUGCCCCCCAAAAAAAUGUCCAAAAGGCGUCGCCGUCGGUCAUUGCUUACUGAGGUGUAGCCUGAAAUUGAAUUUUAUGAAUGUCCAUCUAUGUGGUAAACCUACCCUUUAAAAUUAAAAAAAGACAUCAAAAGACGUUGGCUCGUGCUUACUGGGGUGUAGCCUACCAUGUCAGCCACAAUGGAAUUUUAUAAAUGCUCAUUCAUGUGGUAGGACCACCAUUUGUAAAAACAGGCUGUUGUAUUGGCUUUAUUAGUCCUGAUUCCUGUGAAUAAUCAAUUUGGCUAUUUAAAUUCUGUAUAUCAGCUACUCAACUUUAUCAGGAGUUAUCGUGAGCCUGUUUGCAAUGUGUUUACACGGCGGGGAAAGCAGAAUGAUUUUCUUUUUCACUAUGACCAGCUUGUACAGAUACAAACUUUAAACCAUUGAUCAUGACAAAGGGGUGAAACUCCUGGACAACAGCUGUGAUUGUCCAUUCCAUUUUGUCCAUUUUACUUUGUUUGACCUGUCCUGUUUUUAGGAUAUGUUGUUUGUUAAAAUUACAGCACAUAUUUUAUUAGAUUUAGCACCAUUUAGGUUAGUUAGGCAAUUUGAUCGGAGAAACCUACAUGAUGUAAAAAAAAGUGUCCGUCUCAUUACAUUGUCUUACGUUUUAUAUCUCCAUUCCUUGGCCUACAGAAAUGGCUACAUACCCUAUCUACCAUAUCUUAUAUCUGCUACAUGAUUUAUGUUCGAUUCUUUUUUUUGACGGAACGUUGGUGGAGCGCUGCAGCGAUGAGUCUCUCCAACAGCACCCUGGAGAGGCACGCUGGGAAUGAGGAAGCAAAAUAUUGUUCGCCCCUACCUUUGACAAAGUGGGCACUGCUUAUCACAGGGUGGAAUCAGCGAUCACCUAAAUAUCCCACUGGUUGAGAGAAAUUGUCAUUGUUUUGGGGCAGAAUUAUGUGAGGUUUUAUGUAUUGUUGCCGCCCUCGUCAAUCUAGCCUAAUCCCGCCUAAUGAGCGGGCAGAUGGCUGUGCGCUGGAGGCGGGGGACACGAAGGGUAAUAUUUCGAUAAUGAUAGCUAUUUUAUCUUCUUUUAAACUGAGUCCCAGCCACAAUCACCUCAUAACCUGUCUGUCAUUGAGCCAUCUUCUGCCACAGGACAGAAAUGACAAAUAAAAGUCACCCAGCUAAUUGUAAACAGAUGGUCCCCAUGCUGACACAGGUUUACCACAGAGACCUACUGCACAUUUUAGUAAUGACGGGUCAUCUCUCUACAUCCUAUUGACUUUAGAGGAACUCAGCCCUUUCCAUUGUAGAUACCCAGUCUAACCCCAAAGUCUGCCCGCUCUACCUCACGCCUAACCUAGCCUACCUACAGUACAUAACCACUAUCUGCCCCCCCCCCCUUCCCCCACAACAAAUGAAAAACAAAACUACGACACAUUCUGUGAAAACAUGUUUCUACCUGCUCUAGUUAAUCUUUUGCUUGUAGGCCUAUAAUGUAAUAUAUAUUUAUGGAAAUAUUGCUGUAAUUUUCUGAUGGAAAUGCAAAUAAAAUGUUUGUAUAAUUUAGAACUUGUGUAGAUCAAUGUAAAUGGGAUUUACCUGUAUAAAUA